GAUGAACGCUGGCGGCGUGCCUAAUACAUGCAAGUCGAGCGAUCAGACGAGGAGCUUGCUCCUCUGACGUUAGCGGCGGACGGGUGAGUAACACGUGGAUAACCUACCUAUAAGACUGGGAUAACUUCGGGAAACCGGAGCUAAUACCGGAUAAUAUAUUGAACCGCAUGGUUCAAUAGUGAAAGACGGUUUUGCUGCCACUUAUAGAUGGAUCCGCGCCGCAUUAGCUAGUUGGUAAGGUAACGGCUUACCAAGGCAACGAUGCGUAGCCGACCUGAGAGGGUGAUCGGCCACACUGGAACUGAGACACGGUCCAGACUCCUACGGGAGGCAGCAGUAGGGAAUCUUCCGCAAUGGGCGAAAGCCUGACGGAGCAACGCCGCGUGAGUGAUGAAGGUCUUCGGAUCGUAAAACUCUGUUAUUAGGGAAGAACAAAUGUGUAAGUAACUAUGCACGUCUUGACGGUACCUAAUCAGAAAGCCACGGCUAACUACGUG
Molecule: ribosomal RNA, 497 nt
Filed under: uncultured bacterium
Lineage: Bacteria
Description: partial 16S ribosomal RNA
Rfam family: Bacterial small subunit ribosomal RNA
Source: RNAcentral